CCUACGGGAGGCAGCAGUGAGGAAUAUUGGUCAAUGGACGGAAGUCUGAACCAGCCAUGCCGCGUGCAGGAAGACGGCUCUAUGAGUUGUAAACUGCUUUUGUACAAGGGUAAACCUGAAUACGUGUAUUCAGCUGACAGUACUGUACGAAUAAGGAUCGGCUAACUCCGUGCCAGCAGCCGCGGUAAUACGUAGGAUCCAAGCGUUACCCGGAUUUAUUGGGUUUAACGGGUGCGUAGGCGGAGUGAUAAGUUAGAGGUGAAAUGUCCGAGCUUAACUCGGGAAGUGCCUCUGAUACUGUUGAACUAGAGAGUAGAUGCGGUAGGCGGAAUGUAAGGUGUAGCGGUGAAAUGCUUAGAGAUCAGACAGAACACCGAUUGCGAAGGCAGCUUACCAAUCUAUAUCUGACGUUGAGGCACGAAAGCGUGGGGAGCAAACAGGAUUAGAUACCCCAGUAGUC
Molecule: ribosomal RNA, 460 nt
Filed under: uncultured bacterium
Lineage: Bacteria
Description: partial 16S ribosomal RNA
Rfam family: Bacterial small subunit ribosomal RNA
Source: RNAcentral